This 494-nucleotide ribosomal RNA is filed under the name Halomonas sp. M1H-115. Its description in RNAcentral is "bacterial SSU rRNA". It matches the Rfam family "Bacterial small subunit ribosomal RNA", at positions 1 to 497 of the family's 1533-position model. Lineage: Bacteria; Pseudomonadati; Pseudomonadota; Gammaproteobacteria; Oceanospirillales; Halomonadaceae. The record is from RNAcentral.
UUUAGAGUUUGAUCCUGGCUCAGAUUGAACGCUGGCGGCAGGCCUAACACAUGCAAGUCGAGCGGUAACAGAUGUAGCUUGCUACACGCUGACGAGCGGCGGACGGGUGAGUAAUGCAUAGGAAUCUACCCGGUAGUGGGGGAUAACCUGGGGAAACCCAGGCUAAUACCGCAUACGUCCUACGGGAGAAAGGGGGCUCCGGCUCCCGCUAUCGGAUGAGCCUAUGUCGGAUUAGCUAGUUGGUGAGGUAAUGGCUCACCAAGGCAACGAUCCGUAGCUGGUCUGAGAGGAUGAUCAGCCACAUCGGGACUGAGACACGGCCCGAACUCCUACGGGAGGCAGCAGUGGGGAAUAUUGGACAAUGGGCGAAAGCCUGAUCCAGCCAUGCCGCGUGUGUGAAGAAGGCCUUCGGGUUGUAAAGCACUUUCAGCGAGGAAGAACGCCUAGUGGUUAAUACCCAUUAGGAAAGACAUCACUCGCAGAAGAGCACCGCA